CGGUUUAUGGUGCAGGGGUUAGCAUGCAAGUCUGGGGGACUUGAGGUCGGCGGUUCGAAUCCGCCUAAACCGA
RNAcentral lists this transfer RNA (73 nucleotides) under Spirochaetaceae bacterium. RNAcentral's name for it is "tRNA-Pro". It matches the Rfam family "tRNA". Rfam says of the family: Transfer RNA (tRNA) molecules are approximately 80 nucleotides in length. Their secondary structure includes four short double-helical elements and three loops (D, anti-codon, and T loops). RNAcentral also lists the same sequence under 1 other name. The record is from RNAcentral. Lineage: Bacteria; Pseudomonadati; Spirochaetota; Spirochaetia; Spirochaetales; Spirochaetaceae.